AGAGUUUGAUCAUGGCUCAGAUUGAACGCUGGCGGCAGGCCUAACACAUGCAAGUCGAACGGUAACAGGAAGCAGCUUGCUGCUUCGCUGACGAGUGGCGGACGGGUGAGUAAUGUCUGGGAAGCUGCCUGAUGGAGGGGGAUAACUACUGGAAACGGUAGCUAAUACCGCAUAAUGUCGCAAGACCAAAGAGGGGGACCUUCGGGCCUCUUGCCAUCGGAUGUGCCCAGAUGGGAUUAGCUUGUUGGUGGGGUAACGGCUCACCAAGGCGACGAUCCCUAGCUGGUCUGAGAGGAUGACCAGCCACACUGGAACUGAGACACGGUCCAGACUCCUACGGGAGGCAGCAGUGGGGAAUAUUGCACAAUGGGCGCAAGCCUGAUGCAGCCAUGCCGCGUGUAUGAAGAAGGCCUUCGGGUUGUAAAGUACUUUCAGCGGGGAGGAAGGGAGUAAAGUUAAUACCUUUGCUCAUUGACGUUACCCGCAGAAGAAGCACCGGCUAACUCCGUGCCAGCAGCCGCGGUAAUACGGAGGGUGCAAGCGUUAAUCGGAAUUACUGGGCGUAAAGCGCACGCAGGCGGUUUGUUAAGUCAGAUGUGAAAUCCCCGGGCUCAACCUGGGAACUGCAUCUGAUACUGGCAAGCUUGAGUCUCGUAGAGGGGGGUAGAAUUCCAGGUGUAGCGGUGAAAUGCGUAGAGAUCUGGAGGAAUACCGGUGGCGAAGGCGGCCCCCUGGACGAAGACUGACGCUCAGGUGCGAAAGCGUGGGGAGCAAACAGGAUUAGAUACCCUGGUAGUCCACGCCGUAAACGAUGUCGACUUGGAGGUUGUGCCCUUGAGGCGUGGCUUCCGGAGCUAACGCGUUAAGUCGACCGCCUGGGGAGUACGGCCGCAAGGUUAAAACUCAAAUGAAUUGACGGGGGCCCGCACAAGCGGUGGAGCAUGUGGUUUAAUUCGAUGCAACGCGAAGAACCUUACCUGGUCUUGACAUCCACGGAAGUUUUCAGAGAUGAGAAUGUGCCUUCGGGAACCGUGAGACAGGUGCUGCAUGGCUGUCGUCAGCUCGUGUUGUGAAAUGUUGGGUUAAGUCCCGCAACGAGCGCAACCCUUAUCCUUUGUUGCCAGCGGUCCGGCCGGGAACUCAAAGGAGACUGCCAGUGAUAAACUGGAGGAAGGUGGGGAUGACGUCAAGUCAUCAUGGCCCUUACGACCAGGGCUACACACGUGCUACAAUGGCGCAUACAAAGAGAAGCGACCUCGCGAGAGCAAGCGGACCUCAUAAAGUGCGUCGUAGUCCGGAUUGGAGUCUGCAACUCGACUCCAUGAAGUCGGAAUCGCUAGUAAUCGUGGAUCAGAAUGCCACGGUGAAUACGUUCCCGGGCCUUGUACACACCGCCCGUCACACCAUGGGAGUGGGUUGCAAAAGAAGUAGGUAGCUUAACCUUCGGGAGGGCGCUUACCACUUUGUGAUUCAUGACUGGGGUGAAGUCGUAACAAGGUAACCGUAGGGGGACCUGCGGUUG
RNAcentral lists this ribosomal RNA (1522 nucleotides) under metagenome. Its description in RNAcentral is "bacterial SSU rRNA". It matches the Rfam family "Bacterial small subunit ribosomal RNA". The record is from RNAcentral.